RNAcentral lists this unclassified non-coding RNA (352 nucleotides) under soil metagenome. RNAcentral's name for it is "partial contains 5.8S ribosomal RNA, internal transcribed spacer 2, and large subunit ribosomal RNA". The stretch from base 1 to 120 matches the Rfam family "5.8S ribosomal RNA", at positions 35 to 154 of the family's 154-position model. The record is from RNAcentral.
GAUGAAGAACGUAGCGAAAUGCGAUAAGUAAUGUGAAUUGCAGAAUUCAGUGAAUCAUCGAAUCUUUGAACGCACAUUGCGCCCGCCAGGAUUCUGGCGGGCAUGCCUGUUCGAGCGUCAUUACAACCCUCAGGCCCCCGGGCCUGGCGUUGGGGAUCGGCGGAAGCCCCCUGUGGGCACACGCCGUCCCUCAAAUACAGUGGCGGUCCCGCCGCAGCUUCCAUUGCGUAGUAGCUAACACCUCGCAACUGGAGAGCGGCGCGGCCAUGCCGUAAAACACCCAACUUCUGAAUGUUGACCUCGAAUCAGGUAGGAAUACCCGCUGAACUUAAGCAUAUCAAUAAGCGGAGGA